ACUUUUGGGAGCUUGCUCCCGAAAGUUAGCGGCGGACGGGUGAGUAACACGUGGGCAACCUGCCUAUAAGACUGGGAUAACUUCGGGAAACCGGAGCUAAUACCGGAUAAUUCUUUUCUACUCAUGCAGAAAAGCUAAAAGACGGCUUACGCUGUCACUUAUAGAUGGGCCCGCGGCGCAUUAGCUAGUUGGUGAGGUAACGGCUCACCAAGGCGACAAUGCGUAGCCGACCUGAGAGGGUGAUCAGCCACACUGGGAUUUUCUCCUCGGCCCAGAAUCCUACGGGAGGCAUNCUCCAUCUUGUGAUAAACUCGAGCCUCCUCGCNAUAGGCG
RNAcentral lists this small RNA (333 nucleotides) under uncultured bacterium. Its description in RNAcentral is "bacterial SSU rRNA". The stretch from base 1 to 291 matches the Rfam family "Bacterial small subunit ribosomal RNA", at positions 69 to 350 of the family's 1533-position model. The record is from RNAcentral.